UCGAAACCUGCCCAGCAGAGCGACCCGUGAACUCGUUCAACCUCGUGGGUGUUGGGGCGUUGUUGGUACCUUGUGUGCCUGCUCGUCCCUAUCCUAUGCCGGGGUGCGCGCUCACUUGUGAGCCGUUCCCCUGGCAAAACAACGAACCCCGACGCGUAAUGCGUCAAGGAACAAUAACUUUAUGUGUGUGCUCUUCAGUAGCCCGGUUAGCCGUGCGCUGGAGAUGUGCCAUGUCUUAACAAUA
RNAcentral lists this ribosomal RNA (244 nucleotides) under Silene abyssinica. The record is from RNAcentral. Lineage: Eukaryota; Viridiplantae; Streptophyta; Magnoliopsida; Caryophyllales; Caryophyllaceae.